UACAGAGGGUGCGAGCGUUAAUCGGAAUUACUGGGCGUAAAGGGCGCGCAGGCGGAUCUGUAAGUGAGUUGUGAAAUCCCCGGGCUUAACCUGGGAAUUGCGACUUAAACUGUGGAUCUGGAGUAUUGUAGAGGGUAGUGGAAUUUCCGGUGUAGCGGUGAAAUGCGUAGAUAUCUGGAGGAACACCGGUGGCGAAGGCGGCAUCCUGGACCAUUACUGACACUGAAAAGCGAAAGCCAGGGGAGCAAACGGG
This 253-nucleotide ribosomal RNA is filed under the name uncultured bacterium. RNAcentral's name for it is "partial 16S ribosomal RNA". It matches the Rfam family "Bacterial small subunit ribosomal RNA", at positions 524 to 776 of the family's 1533-position model. The record is from RNAcentral.